GAUGAACGCUGGCGGCGUGCCUAAUACAUGCAAGUCGAGCGAACAGACGAGGAGCUUGCUCCUCUGACGUUAGCGGCGGACGGGUGAGUAACACGUGGAUAACCUACCUAUAAGACUGGGAUAACUUCGGGAAACCGGAGCUAAUACCGGAUAAUAUAUUGAACCGCAUGGUUCAAUAGUGAAAGACGGUUUUGCUGUCACUUAUAGAUGGAUCCGCGCCGCAUUAGCUAGUUGGUAAGGUAACGGCUUACCAAGGCAACGAUGCGUAGCCGACCUGAGAGGGGGAUCCGCCACAAUGGAACUUAGACAAGGUUCAGACCUCUAAGGGAGGCAGCAGUAGGGAAUCUUCCGCAAUGGGCGAAAGCCUGACGGAGCAACGCCGCGUGAGUGAUGAAGGUCUUCGGAUCGUAAAACUCUGUUAUUAGGGAAGAACAAAUGUGUAAGUAACUAUGCACGUCUUGACGGUACCUAAUCAGAAAGCCACGGCUAACUACGUG
RNAcentral lists this ribosomal RNA (497 nucleotides) under uncultured bacterium. RNAcentral describes it as "partial 16S ribosomal RNA". It matches the Rfam family "Bacterial small subunit ribosomal RNA", at positions 28 to 507 of the family's 1533-position model. The record is from RNAcentral.